UGGGGAAUCUUGCGCAAUGCGCGAAAGCGUGACGCAGCAACACCGCGUGAGGGAAGACGGCCUUAGGGUUGUAAACCUCUUUCAGUUGGGACGAAGGUUCGACGGUGAAUAGCCGGUCGGACUGACGGUACCUUCAGAAGAAGCUCCGGCUAACUACGUGCCAGCAGCCGCGGUAAUACGUAGGGAGCGAGCGUUGUCCGGAAUCAUUGGGCGUAAAGAGCGCGUAGGUGGGUAAGUCAGUCUGCUGUGAAAGUCAAAGGCUCAACCUUUGAAAGCCGGUGGAUACUGCUUAUCUAGAGUACGGAAGAGGCGAGUGGAACUCCUGGUGUAGCGGUGGAAUGCGCAGAUAUCAGGAAGAACACCGAUAGCGAAGGCAGCUCGCUGGGACGUUACUGACACUGAGGCGCGAAAGCGUGGGGAGCAAACAGG
RNAcentral lists this ribosomal RNA (429 nucleotides) under uncultured Solirubrobacterales bacterium. Its description in RNAcentral is "bacterial SSU rRNA". It matches the Rfam family "Bacterial small subunit ribosomal RNA", at positions 355 to 776 of the family's 1533-position model. The record is from RNAcentral. Lineage: Bacteria; Bacillati; Actinomycetota; Thermoleophilia; Solirubrobacterales.